UUAAAUUGAAGAGUUUGAUCAUGGCUCAGAUUGAACGCUGGCGGCAGGCCUAACACAUGCAAGUCGAACGGUAACAGGAAGCAGCUUGCUGCUUUGCUGACGAGUGGCGGACGGGUGAGUAAUGUCUGGGAAACUGCCUGAUGGAGGGGGAUAACUACUGGAAACGGUGGCUAAUACCGCAUAACGUCGCAAGACCAAAGAGGGGGACCUUCGGGCCUCUUGCCAUCAGAUGUGCCCAGAUGGGAUUAGCUUGUUGGUGAGGUAACGGCUCACCAAGGCGACGAUCCCUAGCUGGUCUGAGAGGAUGACCAGCCACACUGGAACUGAGACACGGUCCAGACUCCUACGGGAGGCAGCAGUGGGGAAUAUUGCACAAUGGGCGCAAGCCUGAUGCAGCCAUGCCGCGUGUAUGAAGAAGGCCUUCGGGUUGUAAAGUACUUUCAGCGGGGAGGAAGGUGUUGUGGUUAAUAACCGCAGCAAUUGACGUUACCCGCAGAAGAAGCACCGGCUAACUCCGUGCCAGCAGCCGCGGUAAUACGGAGGGUGCAAGCGUUAAUCGGAAUUACUGGGCGUAAAGCGCACGCAGGCGGUCUGUCAAGUCGGAUGUGAAAUCCCCGGGCUCAACCUGGGAACUGCAUUCGAAACUGGCAGGCUUGAGUCUUGUAGAGGGGGGUAGAAUUCCAGGUGUAGCGGUGAAAUGCGUAGAGAUCUGGAGGAAUACCGGUGGCGAAGGCGGCCCCCUGGACAAAGACUGACGCUCAGGUGCGAAAGCGUGGGGAGCAAACAGGAUUAGAUACCCUGGUAGUCCACGCCGUAAACGAUGUCUACUUGGAGGUUGUGCCCUUGAGGCGUGGCUUCCGGAGCUAACGCGUUAAGUAGACCGCCUGGGGAGUACGGCCGCAAGGUUAAAACUCAAAUGAAUUGACGGGGGCCCGCACAAGCGGUGGAGCAUGUGGUUUAAUUCGAUGCAACGCGAAGAACCUUACCUGGUCUUGACAUCCACGGAAGAAUUCAGAGAUGGAUUUGUGCCUUCGGGAACCGUGAGACAGGUGCUGCAUGGCUGUCGUCAGCUCGUGUUGUGAAAUGUUGGGUUAAGUCCCGCAACGAGCGCAACCCUUAUCCUUUGUUGCCAGCGAUUCGGUCGGGAACUCAAAGGAGACUGCCAGUGAUAAACUGGAGGAAGGUGGGGAUGACGUCAAGUCAUCAUGGCCCUUACGACCAGGGCUACACACGUGCUACAAUGGCGCAUACAAAGAGAAGCGACCUCGCGAGAGCAAGCGGACCUCAUAAAGUGCGUCGUAGUCCGGAUUGGAGUCUGCAACUCGACUCCAUGAAGUCGGAAUCGCUAGUAAUCGUGGAUCAGAAUGCCACGGUGAAUACGUUCCCGGGCCUUGUACACACCGCCCGUCACACCAUGGGAGUGGGUUGCAAAAGAAGUAGGUAGCUUAACCUUCGGGAGGGCGCUUACCACUUUGUGAUUCAUGACUGGGGUGAAGUCGUAACAAGGUAACCGUAGGGGAACCUGCGGUUGGAUCACCUCCUUACCUGAAAGAAGC
This 1556-nucleotide ribosomal RNA is filed under the name Salmonella enterica subsp. enterica serovar Montevideo str. USDA-ARS-USMARC-1900. Its description in RNAcentral is "bacterial SSU rRNA". It matches the Rfam family "Bacterial small subunit ribosomal RNA". RNAcentral also lists the same sequence under 5 other names. Lineage: Bacteria; Pseudomonadati; Pseudomonadota; Gammaproteobacteria; Enterobacterales; Enterobacteriaceae. The record is from RNAcentral.